GACGAACGCUGGCGGCGUGCUUAACACAUGCAAGUCGAACGGAAAGGCCCUGCAUUUGUGGGGUGCUCGAGUGGAGAACGGGUGAGUAACACGUGAGUAACCUGCCCUUGACUUUGGGAUAACUUCAGGAAACUGGGGCUAAUACCGGAUAGGAGCUCCUGCUGCAUGGUGGGGGUUGGAAAGUUUCGGCGGUUGGGGAUGGAAUCGCGGCCUAUCAGUUUGGUGGUGUGGUAGUGGCUUACCAAGGCUUUGCCGGGUAGCCGGCCUGAGAGGGUGACCGGCCACACUGGGAUUGGGCUACGGCCCAGACUCCUACGGUAGGCAGCAGUGGAGAAGAGUGCACAAUGGGCGGAGGCCUAGUGCAGCAACGCCGCGUGCGGUAUGACGUCCUUCGGGUUGUAAACCGCUUUCGCCUGUGACGAAGCGUUAGUGACGGUAAUGGGUAAAGAAGCACCGGCUAACUACGUG
RNAcentral lists this ribosomal RNA (468 nucleotides) under uncultured bacterium. RNAcentral's name for it is "partial 16S ribosomal RNA". It matches the Rfam family "Bacterial small subunit ribosomal RNA", at positions 28 to 507 of the family's 1533-position model. The record is from RNAcentral.